UUUAUGUCACUUGCCCAACUCCAUUUCUCAGGGUAAUUCGACUGUUUUACUCUUCGUAACUGUGGGGUGCUUAAAACUCCUUCAGUAAAGGUCUUUAAUCUAGGACAGCGUUCCACAAACAAUUCUUCCAAACAAGGGAAGCUGAAGGUGUAAUUCCUUGAACAAAAGCUUUUGAGUCUCCGUAAAUAGCUUAGUUCUAAACAUUUCAAUUUACUCACAACUAUUGUCUGAGGGAAGUCUCCCCCAUUUCCCACUAUUUCUGUCAUUUUAGUGCAAAACAUCACCCUCAUUCUCGUUAAUUGCACAAGAUUCUUAACCACUAAGGGUGUAACUAAGUUUGUCAUCAUUUGACAAAAUGACACAUCCAAAGUUGUGACAUUUUGCAAAGAUGAGGAGGAGACUGUAAUAUUUAUCAAAUCAUCACAUCCCCAAACUUCGAGUUUUUGGAGAUUAGAAAGAAUAUGGUCAAACUCCGAAUCUUUCCUCCAUAUAUGAUUAAGAUUCAUGGCACGAUCCAGCAUCAGAUUUCUAAUUGGUGUGAGAGUCCCAACGUCUCUUUUACAAGAGACUACGUAUUUGAAAUCAAAAUCACAAAGCUUAAAACUAUCCAAAUUGUAAAAUCUUCGAACAAAAGGAAAUAUAGAAGAUCGAGAGCCACCACGCACUUCAAAAACUUUAAUAUCUUGAAACAAGGCUGGUGGAAACUGUUCCAUAUCACCAAAAUUUAAUAACUCAAGUUCCUCUAAAUUGGGAAUGACCUUGAAACCAAUUAAACAUACACAAGUUAGGCACAAUGUUGAUCUAUAUGCUUAAAAAGAACAUGAGAUCUACAAUUUUGGUGUUUGAUAUCGAUGAUUAAAUCUCAACAAAAUCAAUAUUAAAUCAAACCAAUCCAAAAUAGAUGAAUAUUUUGUUUUAAGAAAGCACAAUACCUUGGAAAUAAAAAAUGAUAAAAAAAUAAGCUGAAAGAAGUGCAUAAAAAAUCUGAAUUAAAAUGGAUAAGCAACCACCGUUUCAAAUAAUAUAUAUAUAUCAACAAGAGAUGGAUGUGACGGUGGCUUAAAUCAUGAAAAGAAAUAUAGUUGUAAUGAUAUACAUACCUCUUCAACCAACAAAACUGGCUGCUCAUUUCCUUGGAUUAAUCUAAGAUGUUCCGAAGCCACUAUCUUUAGCAAAGCAGAACAAUCUGUUUUCAAUUUUUUCAACAGGGGCCAGACUAUUGUAUGUUGCCCUUCAUAGAAACAUUUGAGCUCUUUUAGGGAUGUAACCUCCAGGGAAGACACUUGCGGAAAUUCAAACCUUACAGGCUGCUCCUCCGCUCCUUCCCCUUUCGAUACAAUCUUCUCCACUCCACAAUUAGUGAUGCAUAAAUCUUCAAGUUGUGGAAGAUCUUUGGCUAUUGAAACUGGAAAUAGAUUUUUCAGACUCCCACAUCCCUCAACUCUUAUUUUUCGUAGAUUUUGAAAAGAACCUGGUGCAAAGUCAUUAUGAAACAUCAUUUUCACAUUUCUCAACUUCUGGAUUAUCAUCUUUUCCAACUUAGGAAAUGCAACCUACAUAUAAUUCGUGCCGGUACAAAAGUUAGCUCAUAUAAUGCCAGACAAAAUAACAAGGAAAAAUCAACAGAAUUAUAUAAGAGCGUAAGAGUAAUGAAAUAAAUCACCUUCUCACUGAAGAGAGCGUGCAUGCCAGACUCAUUACUACUCUGACUAAUGAAUUCUAUAAAAUUGGGGCAAUGCCCAAUCCAUAGCUCUUCCAGCAAUGGGAACUCGAUAUUAUGGUUUCCUGAGCUGAAGAAGAUGAGGUUUGGAAGACCACCUAUACACAGGGAGUUUAAUCGAGGGAAACAAAUCACAUCUUCCCUUUCUUCUUCAAUUUCCUCUAUAAGUAUUAUGUCCCUUAAGCACUUGCAAUUCUCUAUCUUAAAGCAUUGGAGCUGCACCAGACUUCUAGCGAGAGAGGGUGAUAACAGAUGCUCCAACUUCCCACAUCCUUCGAUGAUCAAGCUCCUCAAAUUCGUAAUCCAAUGACAUGCCUGGUUGUGCCAUAUUAUUUUGGUGUUAAUUGCAAGCUUUCCAAGUGAUGGAAAACAAAUUGCACAUAUUUACACAAUUAUUUUUAUUCUUUAAAAUCUAAAAAGAGAGGAAAGGGAAAGAUAGAAUGUAGCAUAAUUUGGAAAUAUGAUUUUAAAUUUUAAAGACAAUUUUAGUUGGAAGUGUUGGUUCCAAUUUCAUUUUCAGAAUUAAAAAAAUUUGUUAGGCAGUCAGUUUGGAUUAGAAAUUAAAUUUACAUUUGUUUUGAGUUUGAAAUUUAUUUUUGAACCCUGAAAACCAUUAUACAAUAUUAUUUAUUUUUAUUAUUAGAAGUAUUACUAACUAAAAGUUGUAUAAGAAAUUAUGAAUAAAAGCAAACAGAUACCUGUUUAUUGAAAAGUGGUAAGGGCUCGGAAAUAAUAGAACACCUUUCGUCUUGGGAGCAAAAGCUAAUGAGUUGCGGUAGAUUUUCAAGUGUGAUGGAGCAUAAUUCAGAAACCCCAAUUUCAUUCAUUGUAAUAUACUGUACAUGCAUACCAUUUUUUAUGUGAAGUCUCUUUAAAUGUGGAAGAUCUUUCCCAUUAUCUAACUCCACAAGUACGUUCUUGACGCCUUCAAGUCCCUCUAGGUACAAAGCUUCAGUCUUUAUCAGUAACAUUUUCAACCCAUUGUCCAAAUGAAUGUUUGUACAUAACGUGAGCCUCAAUGUUCUCAAACAUUCAUGACUUUGGUACCAUACCAAUGUUAACAUUAAUGGGAGACAACAUUAAUGGCAAACAAUACAAAGUGGUGCAAGUUUAGCACCCUAAAGUUGACUUUGAAAAAGUGGCAUGGGAUAAUUUUUUUUGGUCCUUGAGAUAAUGGGCUAUUUAUUGUUUGGUCCUUAAACCUCAACUAUAAAUAGGCCUUCUCAUUUCUCAUUUCAAUUCAUCCCAACCAAUCUUUCUCUCUUAGUUUUCUCUCUUCUCCCAUUUGAGAAUUCUUAAGGAAUUCUAUUUGUUUGUAAUACUUUGGAGAUAGUAAAGUUAUCAUCUGGUGUUAGUGCCCGAGGACGUAGGUAUAAUUUACCGAACCUCGUUAAAUCUCUUGUGUUCUUUCUUGUCCUAUUUUUCUUUCAAUAUUUGAGGGUAUAAUAGUAGUAUUUAAUUGUGCUAUUAAAUUACUAUAGAAGGGAUAUUCUGUCUAAGGAAAGACUUGGUAUUUAAGAGAUCCAUGUGAUCCACCUCUCUUCCCUGGGAAUUGAACUUUGUGUGAUUUUUUAGUACAAUAAUUUACACGCUUCCGACCCUAUUGGAACAACAAGUGGUAUCAAGAGCCGAAGGUUAAUCGUAGUAUGCUCUGUGGUUGCAGUUUAAACCGAUCUUCCACAUCAGAAAAGAUUUCCUUAGGUAUAUUGAAAGAUUAUGGAGAAAACGGUCGGUGUAGGAGCUUCAACAUCGUCCAUGUGGACAAGACCGACAAUUGCAAAUGCAAGAUUGGCCGUGGAGAUCUUUGAUGGCACGGGCCAUUUUGGUAUGUGGCAAAGUGAGGUUCUAGAUGCCCUUUUUCAGCAGGGUCUAGACAUUGCCAUUGAUGAAGAGAAACCAGAUGAUGUACAGGAGAAAGAUUGGAAGGCGAUCAAUCGGUUGGCAUGUGGCACAAUUCGAUCAUGCCUUUCUCGAGAGCAGAGGUAUGCUUUUUCAAAGGAGACUUCUGCAAAUAAGUUGUGGGUGGCACUUGAAGAAAAAUUUUUGAAGAAAAACAGUCAAAAUAAGCUCCACUUGAAGAAAAGACUGUUUCGCUUCACAUACGUCCCAAGUACCACAAUGAAUGAUCACAUCACCAAAUUUAAUCAGUUAGUCACUGAUUUGCUGAAUAUGGAUGAGACAUUCAAAGAUGAAGAUUUGACUUUGAUGCUGUUGGGGUCACUUCCUGAGGAGUUUGAGUUCCUAGAAACUACUCUACUUCAUGGCAGGAGUGAUAUAUCUCUGAGCGAAGUCUGUGCAGCCUUAUACAGUUAUGAACAGAGAAAGAAGGACAAACAGAAAAACUCAAUCAGAGAUACAGAAGCUUUAGUAGUCCGAGGUCGUUCAUACACUCGGAAGAAAACUCAAAAGGGGAGAUCAAAGUCAAAGUCCAGACUCGGGAAAGAUGAAUGUACUUUUUGUCAUCAGAAAGGCCACUGGAAGAAAAAUUGUCCAAAGCUGAAGAAUAAGGGAAAAGCUGCUGUAGAUGCUUGUGUUGCAAAGCAUGAUACUAGUGACUCUGAACUAUCACUGGUUGCAUCAUCAUCGUCGUUCCAUUCAGAUGAGUGGAUAUUGGAUUCGGGUUGUACCUAUCAUAUGUCCCCUAACCGGGAGUGGUUCUCUGAUUUAGUAGAACUAAAUGGAGGAGUUGUUUAUAUGGGCAAUGACAAUGCCUGUAAAACUGUUGGGAUAGGUUCAAUCCAAUUAAAGAAUCAAGAUGGAUCAACCAGAGUUCUGACUGAUGUUCGGUACGUGCCCAGUUUGAAGAAAAAUCUCAUCUCAUUGGGAGCCUUGGAAUCCAAUAGUUCAGUUGUUACUAUGAGAGAUGGGAUUUUGAAAGUGACAUCUGGCGCACUUGUGAUAUUGAAGGGCAUCAGGAAAAAUAACUUGUAUUACUACCAAGGUAGUACAGUGAUUGGAGCAGUCGCUGCAGCUUCCGGCAACAAAGAAUUGGACUCAAUACAGUUGUGGCAUAUGAAGUUGGGACAUGCCAGCGAAAAAUCCUUGCAAAUUCUGGCAAAGCAAGGAUUGUUGAAAGGUGCAAAGGCUUGCAAAUUAAAAUUUUGUGAGCACUGUGUUCUGGGAAAGCAAAAGAGAGUGAAAUUCGGCACUGCUAUCCAUAAUACAAAAGGUAUUUUGGAAUAUAUUCACUCAGAUGUGUGGGGGCCUUCCAAAACACCUUCGUUGGGAGGAAAACACUACUUUGUUACUUUUGUUGAUGACUUUUCCAGAAGAGUUUGGGUGUAUACCAUGAAAACUAAAGAUGAAGUGCUUGGAGUUUUUCUUAAAUGGAAAACUAUGAUCGAAAACCAGACUGGCAAGAAAAUCAAGCGGCUUAGGACGGACAAUGGAGGGGAAUAUAAAAGUGAUCCGUUCUUCGAUGUGUGCCAAGAGUAUGGUAUUGUUCGACACUUCACAGUUAGGGAUACACCACAGCAGAAUGGAUUGGCAGAGCGUAUGAAUCGAACAUUGCUGGAGAAAGUUCGAUGUAUGUUGUCCAAUGCUGGGUUGGGCAAGCAAUUUUGGGCUGAGGCUGUGACAUACGCUGGCCAUCUUAUUAAUCGUUUGCCAUCAUCUGCAUUAGAAAGAAAAACUCCUAUGGAGGUAUGGUCUGGAAAACCGGCUACAGAUUAUGAUUCCUUACAUGUGUUUGGAUCCACUGCAUAUUACCAUGUGAAGGAGUCAAAGUUAGAUCUGAGGGCAAAGAAAGCUCUCUUUAUGGGAAUCACUUCUGGAGUGAAGGAAUUUCGUCUUUGGUGCUUAAGCACAAAGAAAAUGAUCUGUAGCAGAGAUGUUACCUUUGAUGAAUCUGCCACAUUGAAAAAGGUAACAGAUAAAGAUAUUCAGACGAGCAAUACUCCACAGCAGGUGGAGUGUACUUCAAAACAGGUGGAGUUUGAGCAGAUGGGGAUUUGCCCAGUUAAUAAGUCUAAUUCUCCAGCCACAAUGGAGAAAUUAGAGGUUGAAGAGGUUCUGACCCAAGAACCACUAAGUACACCAGAACCAGUUGCAGUUGCAAGGCCACGGAGAGAAAUUCGUAAACCUGCUCGAUUUACUGAUAUGGUGGCCUACGCCCUUCCCGUUGUUGAUGAUAUUCCUAUCACUUAUCAAGAAGCAAUGCAAAGCUUAGAAAGUGAUAAAUGGAAAAGCGCCAUGGAUGAAGAAAUGCAGUCUCUCCGGAAGAACAAUACUUGGGAGUUGGCGCAAUUACCGAAAGGUAAAAGGGCAAUCGGAUGCAAGUGGGUAUUCGCAAAGAAAGAUGGAUCUCCUAGCAAGAAGGAUAUUCGCUACAAGGCAAGAUUGGUAGCUAAAGGCUACGCUCAAAAGGAGGGAAUUGACUACAAUGAUGUAUUUUCCCCUGUUGUGAAGCAUUCCUCCAUUAGAAUUUUGUUGACCUUGGUAGCACAGUUGAAUUUGGAGCUAGCUCAACUUGAUGUUAAGACAGCUUUCUUGCAUGGUGAGUUAGAAGAGGAGAUCUAUAUGACUCAGCCCGAAGGAUACACAGAUGCUGGUGGUAGAAAUUGGGUUUGUAAGCUUAACAAAUCGCUAUAUGGAUUGAAGCAAUCCCCGAGGCAGUGGUACAAGCGAUUUGAUAGCUUUAUGAGAAGGCAGAAGUACACAAGAAGCAAAUAUGACAAUUGUGUAUAUUUGCAGAAGCUGCAUGACGGAUCUUUCAUUUAUCUACUCUUGUAUGUUGAUGAUAUGUUAAUCGCUUCGAAGAGCCAAAAUGAGAUAGAUAAGCUAAAGGCUCAGUUGAAUCAAGAGUUCGAGAUGAAAGAUCUAGGUGAGGCCAAGAAGAUUCUCGGCAUGGAGAUAAGUAGAGAUAGACCGAGAGGCAAGCUCUGUUUAAAUCAGAAGCAAUAUCUGAAAAAGGUAUUACAAUGUUUUGGUGUAAAUGAAAACACAAAACAUGUAAGUACCCCACUUGCUUCUCAUUUGAAAUUUAGUGCUCAAUUAUCUCCGAAAACUGAAGAAGAAAGAGAAUAUAUGGCGAAAGUCCCAUAUGCUAAUGCAGUUGGGAGUUUGAUGUAUGCGAUGGUGUGUACGAGGCCUGACAUUUCACAAGCUGUUGGAGUUGUGAGCAGGUAUAUGCAUGAUCCUGGAAAAGGACAUUGGCAAGCUGUGAAAUGGAUUCUACGGUAUCUUCGAAAAACCGUAGAUGUUGGUUUAAUUUUUGAACAGGAUGAAGCACUUGGUCAGUUUGUAGUUGGAUAUGUUGAUUCCGACUUUGCUGGUGAUUUAGAUAAACGUCGUUCAACUACGGGGUAUCUGUUUACUCUUGCGAAAGCCCCAGUAAGUUGGAAGUCUACCUUACAGUCUACAGUAGCUGUGUCUACUACAGAGGCAGAAUAUAUGGCAGUUACAGAAGCUGUUAAGGAGGCUAUUUGGCUUAAUAGAUUGUUGAAAGACUUAGGAGUUGUUCAAAGUCACAUAAGUUUAUAUUGUGACAGUCAGAGCGCUAUUCAUUUAGCGAAAAAUCAAGUCUAUCAUUCAAGAACCAAGCAUAUCGACGUAAGAUAUCACUUUGUGCGGGAAGUCUUUGAAAAAGGAAAAAUUCUACUUCAGAAGAUUCCGACAGCAGAUAAUCCCGCAGAUAUGAUGACCAAGGUGGUAACAACAAUCAAGUUUAAUCAUUGUUUGAACUUGAUUAACAUCCUGAGAAUUUGAGCACCUUCAGGUGUAUGGCGCUCGAGAGUGCAUUUGUAGGCACUACAAAAGAUAGCUUUAUCAAAUUUGGGGAGUUGAAGGAAGAGUGUGAAGAUGUGAUUAUCCUAAUCAAAUCUUCAAGGUGGAGAUUGUUAACAUUAAUGGGAGACAACAUUAAUGGCAAACAAUACAAAGUGGUGCAAGUUUAGCACCCUAAAGUUGACUUUGAAAAAGUGGCAUGGGAUAAUUUUUUUUGGUCCUUGAGAUAAUGGGCUAUUUAUUGUUUGGUCCUUAAACCUCAACUAUAAAUAGGCCUUCUCAUUUCUCAUUUCAAUUCAUCCCAACCAAUCUUUCUCUCUUAGUUUUCUCUCUUCUCCCAUUUGAGAAUUCUUAAGGAAUUCUAUUUGUUUGUAAUACUUUGGAGAUAGUAAAGUUAUCAUCUGGUGUUAGUGCCCGAGGACGUAGGUAUAAUUUACCGAACCUCGUUAAAUCUCUUGUGUUCUUUCUUGUCCUAUUUUUCUUUCAAUAUUUGAGGGUAUAAUAGUAGUAUUUAAUUGUGCUAUUAAAUUACUAUAGAAGGGAUAUUCUGUCUAAGGAAAGACUUGGUAUUUAAGAGAUCCAUGUGAUCCACCUCUCUUCCCUGGGAAUUGAACUUUGUGUGAUUUUUUAGUACAAUAAUUUACACGCUUCCGACCCUAUUGGAACAACAACCAACCUAUUAUAAUCACCUACACAAAUAACGUAUUUGUCCAAAGUUUCAACGAAUCGAUGCUUUGGAAUCAUUUGGGCAUCAGAGAUAUGAACAUCUAAAGUAGUUAGACAAGGCAAAUUGUUUAAUUCGUCAAGGCUUGCAUUUUUCUUCUCAUUUUCAGCUACUCCUUCCUUUUCCUAUUCAACAAAGCUUCCACCCAUAUAUAAUUCUUUUAAUUCAGAUAAACUUGAUAAGACAUUUGGUGAGAUGAUUUCGAGUUCUCUACACCAACUCAAAUCUAACAACCUUAAUUGAGUCAAUUGUGCCAUCUCCUUAGGUAGUUCUUUGAUACCUGACUUAGCAAGGUCAAGGAUUUCUAAAUUCUUGAGCUCUCCUAUGACGGUUAUGUCAUCAACUGCAGAUUCUUUUAGACACAACAUGCGAAGGUCUGUGAGGUGAAUAAUUGAUUUAGGUAGGGAUGAAAACUGCAUUCUGAACAAAUCUAAGACUUUGAGGCCUUUGGUUUGUUUGAAAAAAUUGGGAGGAAUUUUAACUGCGCUGGCCAUAUGGAAGAAGGAAAGACCUGAACACUCCAUCUCCUUAGGAAGGUUAGCUAUAAUCUGAGGACAACGUAAGCUGAUCAGACUCCAGCUAUUUAUUUUCUCCUUAUCGGACCACUCCUUUGGAACAUGAUCUCUCAAAACAAGCAUACGAUAGUCCUUCAAUGCAAUAGCUAAAGCAGCAUCCCAAACAACAUCAUGGAUAUCAAAGCGCUCAUCAUUAUAACUAUCAAGCAACAAGGCAGACGCUUUGAGAUUAGCCACAACCGUCAAUACUUUAUUUCUAGCUUCUUCCAUAGUGUAGACACCGUCAAAUAAACCCAAACCUAGAGUAUAUCUUACCAAGUCCUCAACGAGACCAUUAUGGCCUAUUACACUGCAAAGCAAGAAAGUCAGCUUAACUUCCUCGCUUUCUAAAUAAUUAAAAAUCCACUCUAUAGCUGAAUAUGCAGCAUUUAUCCCCAUGAAGUUGCUUGACGAAGUCCUCUCCAGUUCUCGUAAAGCAUUCUUCCAUUCAAACAAUCUUUUGUUUCUCAAAGCCCCUGCAACUGUCGCAAUGGCUAUUGGCAAUCCUGCACAUUUUUUGGCUACCUCCAUAGCUAUAGGCUUCAAAUCGCAACUUUCAACACAGUCGCCAGCCAUCUUCUUGAACAGGUCCCAGGCUUCCUUUUCAUUUAAAACCCCUAUGGGAAAAUUUUUCUGAGCAUCCAUCCCAUUUAAUAAAACAUUGAGUUCCCUAGAAGUUAACAGCAACUUGCAUCCCUUGUGUUCAUCUCCCAAAGGAAUCCCAACUUCCUCAAUAUCUAACUUUUCCCAAAUAUCAUCCAACACAACCAGAAUCCUCUUCUCCUUCAAUCUUUCUCGUAGUCGAAAUGCCUUUCCAACCAUACUCUGUUCCUCAAAUUUCAAGCCCAAGAAGUCUGCAAUUUGGUUCUGAAUCUUCUCAAUAUUGAUGGCUUGAGUUACGGUUGCUAUGACAACCGAAUCAAACAACUUGCCCUUGACCUUUCUAGCGAUUUCUUUGACCAUCGUUGUUUUUCCAAUCCCGCCCAUACCAUGCACCCCAACAACGCUGACGCUAUCAUCUUUUAGUGCCUCCAUUAUUCCAUUCAAAAUCGACAUUCUUGACUCGAAUUCCUCAUAACCUUUAACCGGUGCAACCACAAUACCUUGCGAAGCUACACGAUAGGAAACCCUUUCAAACUUGCCAUGUUCAAGUAGCUCGGCAACAGCCUUUGCCUCCUCUUCAGCUUUCAGGCUAAGCUUGUAACGAGUCCUGAAAUUAGGACACAGACCAAUGAAACACUUUUUCUUUGCUUUUUCUUCAUCUUGGAUCAUUUUCUGUACUUGUUCAAGGAUCAUUUUGUCGACUGCAGACAGCCAUUUGUCAACAUCGCCUUCGAUCUCCUCACCAUUUCGUUUAGCUGCAUCAACAGAAUGCUGCACUCCGUCCCUUGCAUCUUUCAGCCUAUUAGCUCGGUUCUUGAGGGUUUCAACAUAUUUCUGAUGAUUGGAAAGGUAUUUGACAUGGUUUUUGAUAGGAGAGAUCGUAUACUCUACAGCUUUAGCGACAAUAGAGCCAACGAUGGCAAUAACAAACUCCAUUGAGAGAGCAAACUGAAUAACCACAGCGACAACAAAGACCAAAACUUGAAUUAUCCUAUAUUUAAAAAAAGAAAAAAGAAAACUCAUUUGCAUAAUCUUAACUACCAUUGAAGAGUUAGAAUUUUAAAAUUAUAAAUAUGUGAUUAAUGUUUUACUUUUAUGGCAAUUAAAGUGACGUUGUUAAUAUAUUACUUUUUAUUAAUACAGACAUAUAUCUAAUAAGUAUCUUUUUUUAAGGAAUAUUUUUUCCUAAGCAUUGAAGGAAUAAAUUUUCUUUUUACACUUUGAAUAUUUUUUCAACACAUCUUUUAAAAAUUUGUUUUUAAUUAUUGUUUAAAAAUUAAAUCUUUCUAAUUAUUUUGAAAUACUAUUUUUUAUCAUGAAAUUAAAUUUCUUUUAAAUUAAUUUAAACUAAUUCAAAAUUAAACCUAUUUCUUAUAUUUUGAUUAAGGCAAUAAUUUAUGGGUGAUUAUUUGGUAUACUAGCAAUAUUUUUUUAGUCCACAAGCUGUUUUAAAAAAUUUAUGUCUCUUUUUUAAAAUAUUUAAUUUUUUUAUAUUUUACUAUACUCUUAUAGGACACUUGUCAAUCUCUUGACCCUACUUUGACCUUACUGAUGGAGACUAAAAAUAUUGUUGGAAAAAUUACUUUUAUUGGAGCUUUGAGGCAUAUUCUCAAUAGGUAAAAGUGGAGAGUUGAAUCAUAAUUUUAUGGUUUCAUAUUCUACUCCAUGAGUCCUUUAUAAUGGCAUAUCAUAUGCUCAAAAUAGUUGAGUGGUGAAUGAGAAAUUGAUGCUCAAAGUAAGCUAGUUGAAAUAUUGUUGAGAAAAAGUAAAGGCUUAGAUCCACAUUGGUUAAAUACCAAGUGUGAGAUGUGCUUAUAUAUGUGAACUCUCUGUAAAAAUAAUUGAAUAACUAUGCUUGUAACCUUGUCUCACGCGUAGGGGGUGUAGGUCCAAAUUUGAUGGGGUUGGGCGCGCACCUGCAUGACGUGGGCGAUCCAAAAUGUUUUGACCAGUCCAUGCGGAUAUUUUAAGCCCAAUACGAAUUUAUUUUUUCUCAGCAGACAUAAUCUACUUAUAUAUGGACAGUAACUGAUUUGAUUUAAUUUUUAAAUUAAAUUGAUUUUUGGCUUCUUAUCCGAAAUGCCUAUAAAAGGCUGUGUAUUCUAGAGUAUUAAACACACAUUCAAAUAAUUUUUUAUGCCGAAAUUCUGUUGAUUUCAAAACUCUUCAAUUUCCUCUUCGUUUUUCAAACAUUCCGGUGAUAGAAAAAGGCAAAAUUCGUUCGUUGAUUGUUGUAGAGGUGCUACUACUUUGAUCACUUUUGUUGUUGUAUCCUGGGAGAAUUUCUACUAACGUUUCUCCAAGUACCAUAGGAAACUGUGUUUCACAGGCCUCAACGUUUCGUAAAAUCUCAAUUCUUCUUUAUUUCAACUUUUUCUUAUGUUUUUAUUUGAUUCAUAUUUAAUAAAUUAAUUAUAAAUCAUUCUAUUUAUAUUUUAUUUCAUAUAUGUAUUUAUUUAUAAUUAAUUUAUUUUGUUUGCUAACGUGUUUUGUCCAAUAAACAUUAAUAAUAAAUUGUGGAAAUUAUUUAGUAAGUGGAGGUUUUAGACUCAACAAGUAGGGUCAGGAGGUUGACCAGUAUCUUAUAAGGGUAUAGUAACAUAUUUAAAAAAGAGAGACAUAUGUCAAUUUUUUAAGACUACUUGUGGAAUAAAAAAAGUACGUUGUCAGUGUACCAAAUACUCGCCCUAUAUACAUUUAUAUUUUUUUAUUAUUUAUUAUUUAAUAUUAAUUCAUAAUUUAAAUAUUAUGUGAUAACAAAAUUAAAAUUUAUUAACAUUAAGGAGAAGGAUCCACUUAUAUAUGUAAAAGCUAAAGGAAUUUUACACACUUUCGUAACUAUUUAUAUAAUUAAUAUUUUAACGAUCCAACUGUUAUAUUUUAUGGUCUAUUCAUGCAGAUUAUACAUGUCAAAUUUGAUGUAAAUUUAAAACUUCUAACUAUUUUCUUUUUGUAAAAAAAAUUCAAUCGUUGAUUAUAUAUUAGUAUAUAGAGUAUUUUAGAUCGAUACGAUAUAGAUAUCGAAUUGGUUCGAAAAUUUUCAUGCAUUACAAGUACAAUUAUAUUGAUAAAUUAAAUGGUUAAAUUAUUAAAAUAUUAAUCAUAUAAAUAAUUACAGAAUCCUGUAAAACUAUUUUAGUUUGUACGUUAUGUAAGUGACUAAUAUCAAUAAUAUCUUUUUGUUAUACUAAAAAUUUCUAACAAUAAUUUUACAAUAUAAAAAAAAUUUUGGUUUUAGAUUUUGUUUAAAGCAUUUUAAUUCAGAUUUUAAUAAACUAUAAUUUCUUUAUAUAUAAACUAAUUAUUUAGUAUUACUUUUUAAUAAUUUUUUGAAAUCGACAUUUUAUAAUACUACAUAAAUAGGCCAUAACAAAAUGUUUUUCUUGAAUAAAUACUUUUUAUAAUGGUUUUCUUGAAAUAUAAGUUCUAUAAUCAUUUUAAAUCAACAUAUUUUCAUAAUUUAAAUAUUUUAAAAUUUAGAUUGAAAAUAUUAACAAUAUAUUUCAAAUCCUAUUUUAAAUUUUUAUAUAUGCUAAUUUUCUUGUUUAUUAAUGUUCUUUUUUUUAGUUCGCUGCACAUUUUUUAAAUUAGUUAAUUUUUUAAAUAUUGAAAUUUCAAAUUUCAAAAUAGUAUAAUAAUAAUUAUGUUAUAAAAGGAAUUUCUAAAUAAUAUAUAAACAAACACUUUUAAAUAUAUAUAUAUAUUUAAUUUGUUUUUUGAAAUGAUUUUUCAUAUAAUUUUAGUGGGCUAUCAAACCAGCUUUCCAACCAUAUAUAGUUUUGAGUGGAAAUAAAGCAUCGAAUAAAAAAAAAGGUGGUCGACUACAAGAUAAAUCACCCAGCCUCUGAAUAACCAUGAAGCAACAAGUUGUUGAUACAUCCCAAACGCAAGUGCUUAUGCAGCUUUCCUAAUACUCACCCCUUUUUAGAGAUUUAAAGCAUAAAAGAAGUCUAUUCUCAUGGUUAAACCUGCCUGCCUAAGCUUAUAUCAAAAGAGUAAGAGCAAAGCAGGGAAAGGAAAAGCAGACGGCGUACCUUUUGGCUAUGAUCAAUAACCGAUAGUUUUCCCCCUUCUGUUUUUUUUUUCUUCUUAACAGAGCAAAGCCAGAAAGUAGUAAACUGAGAAAGACGACUUCUUGCUUACUUUAAAAGUAGGAAAGGAAGUUUGGAUUGUAUUUCAUGGAAACAGCUCAGAAAUGACAACCCAAAAUGUCUUAUUACAUAAACAAGGUUUUUCUUUUUCUCCUCUUAAAGGUGGAGUGAAUGAGUUAUCCAACGUGUAUGAGUGUUUUCAUAUAAGGUUAUUUUCCUAAUUAAUUUCCUUCUUUUAUUAUUAUUUUUGCUUUCUCUUUCUUCAACCACCUAUUCCUCAUCUAAUAUAUGUUUUUGGAUGAUUUAUUUAAUGGAGUGGUUAGCAUCAAACAAAGCACAUCACAACCAAAGUAGAAAAAAACAAGAAAUAAGGAAGAAUGUUUUCAAGGUUUAGAUAACAUCUUUGAGAGACGAUGCUAUUGAUUAAUUAAUGUAUCGAUUGCAUUUCGUGGAAACAACUCAGAAAUGACAUGCCAGCCGUCCCAAAAUGUCUUAUACCAAGAUAUAUUUUAUUUAUUUUUGCCAAAAUGGUAGCUAACAAAAACACACUUUUGACUCUGACUAAUGAACUUCUCACCUUUAGAAUGUUAAUUAUGAACAAAACAUAAGCAAGCAAACACACAAAGAUCAUCAAUUAAAAGAAGUCUACCAAACAAUAUUCUAUUCGGUGUUUUAUCAUAAAGAAGAGGUGAAGGAGUUCAAUUAAUAAGAUGAAAAGCAGUCAAAACACACUCCCAAAAAACAAUAUAGACAAAUUUCCUUGAAAAUGCAAAACACAAGCCACAUUUAAAAUGUGUUGAUGUUUCCUUUCGCUCUCCCAUUUUGUUGAGGAGUACUAACAUAAGAAAUUUAAAAAAUAAUGUCAUUUGUAAGAAAAUAAUCUUGGAGGCAAUUAAAUUCCGUCUCAUUAUCACUUCUCACAAAUUUUAUCUAUUGGGAAAAUUGACGAUCAAUCAUAGUAAAAAAAUGACAUGAAAAUCUUGAAAAUAGCGGUGGAUCUAUGAGAUGGCAAAGACCCUAACCCCCCUAAAAUGGAAAAUCAUUCAUUUAGGCUCUUUAAAAAUUUUAAAAAUUUAAAUUAAUAAAUAUAAAAUUAUACUUUGGUCCCCUAAUAAUGAUAAGAUUUAAUUUAAUCCUUUAAAAAUUAUAAAGAUAUAGACUAUUGAAAAUUAUAAUUUAAUUUCGACCCCAAGAAAAAUUUUUCACAUUUGCCCCUGCUUGAAAACCUCAUUCUUAUUAACCAAUAGAUAUACCCAAAGAGCACAAGAGAAAUCAUCAACCAAUGUAAAAAAUUAAUGAGAUCCACAAUAUGAAAGAGUAUCAUAAAACCCCAUAAAUCACAAUAAACUAACUCAAGAAUUCAAGUGGCUUUCUAUUCACUAACUAGAAAACUAUUUUUUGUUUGUUUAACACGAUGCCAAAUUUUGCAUGAUUUAUUCAAAUGAUCUCUAGAGUUACUAACAUAAGGAAAUAACUUUACUACUUUCUCGGAAGGGUGACCCAAUCUUCUAUGCCAAAGUUCCAAAGAGGAUAGAGCUUUAACCAAAACCACUUUGACCAUUGAUACUUGUCGAAAGUAAUAAAGUCCAUCUCGUCUCUCACCUGCUCUAAUCAACUCCCUCGAAAUGAAUGUUCAUUCAACCGAUUGGUAGUGGAUUGUGUAUUACCAAACACUACCAAAAGAGAUUUUCAUUGCUCAGCGGUAAAACCAGCCCUCCCCCUGAUGGAUUAUAUUGCCCCUGGUGGUGGAGAAGUAGAAUCACUACCAACCAUUGAAAACAAUUUUUUUUUGUGUGUGUGUGUUAAACACCAAGCUUAGAUACCAUGACAAGAAUAGGUAAUUCAUUUCAAUCGUAUUGAUAAGCUUCAAAAAUAUACAUAAUAUUUAUACAACAGUAGUCACGUAGAAAUAGGAAAGAUAUAUAAUAUAUUCCUAAAUAUAUGCUUAAAAGAUAUAUAAUAAUAUACAAUAUGUUUAGAUAUUCCUAAAAGAUAAUAUCUCAUAAUAAUAUUCUAAUAUUGUACCAAAUACUAGCCAUUUUUUAAAUUGUAUUUGUUUGUUACAAGUAUCAAACUAUUACGGCACGAAUUAUAUAAGGAAUUACAAAAUAGAAUCAAAUCAUUAGACCAUCACGAGAAUAAAAGUCGGUACAAUCAAUACUAAAGCCAACAAAUUAGAUUAAAUGGAUUAAAAGUCACAUAUGACCAUCGGAAUAUGGACUAAGCAAAAUUAAUAAUACCAAUUGGCAUCUAUUUAAUAUUUUUAAUUAUAUUCAUUUUGACUAAACGUACAAAAAAAAUGUUAGUGGGGCAUCAGGUUUUUUUUUUUGUUUGUUGCUAUCUACUAUUUGUUUUUGUUUUCUUUUUUUCUAAUAAGCAUUGAUUUUAUUCAUAAAAGAAAGAAGUACAAAGGUGCAAUAAACUACAGCCAAGCCACAUAACGCAACCAUUGAAUCAGACUCAAACUCCAUAACAUGCUUUGAGACCUUUGGGAAGAAGCAAAGAUAUUUUAAAACCUUGCUUGAUGGCUAAAGUGAAGGUUGACUCGUGGUUUUGUCAUUUCCACUAUGGUCAUCUUAAUUUUGGGGGUUUGAAGACUCUUAGACAGAAAGAAAUGGUCAGCGACCUUCCUCAGAUUGUCAUUCUUUCCCAGGUGUGUGAAGAUUGUGUUGUUAGCAAACAAAAUCGUGAACAAUUUCCCAAAGGAAAGUCUUUGAGAGCAAAACGUGGCUGGAAUUGGUUCAUUCAAAAAUCUAAGGGCCAAUAAAACCAUCAUCUAAUGGAGGUAAAAAAAUAUUUCCUUACUUUCAUUCAUGAUUAUUCCCGGAAAACAUGAGUUUAGUUCUUACAGGAGAAAUUAGAAGCAUUUAGUGCAUUUACUAGCUUCAAGGCAUUUGUUGAGAAUGAAAUCGGUAAAACCAUUCAAGCUCUUCGCACUUAAUGUGGAGGAGCAUAUUGCUCCAAGGAAUUUGAAGCAUUUCGUGAGAGUCAUGGCAUUCGAAAAGAGCUUACUACUGCAUAUACCCCCCAACAAAAUGGCGUAUCAAAGAGGAAAAACAUAACCAUACUUAAUAUGGUGAGGAGCAUGCUUGCUGGUGGAAGGGUCCCAAAACGAUUUUGGCUAGAAGCAGUAAAUUGGAGCAUCCAUGUUUUGAACAGAAGCCCAACUUUUGUUGUUCAAAACAUGACACCUGAAGAAGCUUGGUGUGGAAGGAGACCACCAACGAUAGAUCACUUCAAAUUUUUUGGUUACAUUGCUUAUGUACAUAUUCCAGAUGCAAAGAGAAAGAAGCUUGAUAACAAGGGAGAAAAGUGUGUGUUUCUAGGUGUAAGUGAAACAUCUAAAGCAUGAAAACUGUUUAAUCCUUUAACGAAGAAAUUGUGAUUACCAAAGAUGUAUGUAACUUUUGAUGGGGAGAACACUUGGAAUUAGGAGGACUAGCAACCUUCUCAAACCUUUACUGACACUGAAAUUAAAGAUGAAUGGCCACAACCUUUAGAUCAGCAGACUCGAGCACUUGAGAGUUCACCAAACCCAACAACCAUCAACCACCUACCAUCAAGUUAUAAUUAAAAUUGGCUAUUAUAGUGCAUGAUUAGAUUGGUACACGAAAUAUAUUUGUACCUAAAGUGAUUAAACAUACUAAAUGGAUUAAAAUGUAAGUAGACUAUUCAAAAUAAAAAAUUUUCUGACAUAUAAAACUUCAAAAAGAAUUUUAAUCUGUCAAUAUGUAAAAUCAAAAUAUUAAAUUAAGAUCAGUGUUGAACUAAAGCUUCAUCUAUAUAUAAUACUCUAAGCAACCCAUAAAGGAUGUUGACGGUAAAGGAUAGCUAAGCUUACCAUGAAAAUAUUAUUUUGAUUAUAAUAUAUUUUUAUCAAUAGAUAGAUAGCAUUAUUACUAGUAAACCUUCCCAAAUUUAAAAUAUUAUUUUUUUAAUAUAUUGAUUUGCGGAUCAAUUCAAUUCCCGAAAUAAAAUUCAAAAUAGUUACAUUAAAUUUAAUACAUUUAAUCAAGACAAAUCAUAUUAAUUUAACACCCUAAAAACUGUAACAUAUUACUACAUUUUUUUACCCUAAAACAACUAUUUGGUUAAUUAAUAAAUAAAUUGCUUAUUUCAUACAAUAUUUACCGUAAAUUUUACUAAUAUUUACAAAUACUCCUCUUAAUUAAGCUUGUUGCCUUAUAAUCUUAAUUACUUCAUUAAGCAUUUACUUAUUAUUAUUGAAAAAUUUUCAAAUAUCAGAAUUUAUAAUUGAAUUUAUCUUCUUUUUUUUCUGGCUUCAAAUUAACUCAAAUCAUUUAAAUUGUGAAACCAAAAAGUAUGCUUUAAUAUGUUUACUUUCAUACUCUAAUUUAUGAUUUUAUUUAUUUAUUUAUUUUGCUUACUAGUAAAAGUUUACAUGUUUGUAGUUCCCAAUGCCAUGCAUGAUGCACUUGAAAUAGAAUUGUGAGGUUAUAAUGUGAAAUGGAACAGUUCAAAUAGUUGUUUUACAAAAACUGAAAUAACCUUUCACGUUCUACCAACAGAUGCAGCCAUGUGCUUCAGUAGAGCAACUCAACCUACAAUAAAAAGGGCGUAUCUAUGGUCACUUUAUAAAUCUUUAGUUUAGCCAUGAUGAAAAUAGAAGAGUCAAUUACCAUUCGUUUUGAUUUGAAACGAAAUUGAGCUUUUCGCAUAAGCACCCAAACAUAUUUCCUUAUUCCAGCUUGGGAAACUGAUCAGUAACCUUCGUCACCUCAGAAUUUUGCACAUUCUGUGCAUGAUCAUAACAAACCAAGAAUUGUUCAAUUAACUAUGUAUGUAUGUAUGUAAAAACACGUGAAUUUAAAUCCUUUAAAUGAUUUGUACCAUUUCAUCGAACAUAUGUUUUAUGGUAGUGUUAAGGUCGCCUUCCCACUGCAGUUCACCUUCCUCAUCUCUUGUUAAGUGCAUUUGUUCCAGCCUUGGUGUGCUUAAAUCUCCUUGGCAGAAAUUCCUCAUUUUGGAGCACUUUGUCACCUUCACCAUUAGCAAGACUGGGAAUUCCAACGAGUGAUGGGCCAAGGAAAAGCUUGCUAGACAUGGUAGACAGCUUAGUUGCAAAUACUGCAGUUUGGGAAAUACAAUGCCGCCUUGCAUUUCUUCGGCCUCACACGCUAUGAUUUCCUCUAUCAUCCCACAAUCAUCUAUGCUCAAUCUUUCCAGUAGCCUCAGGCACUUAGCUGUUGAGCAUGCGAUUAAAUUGAUGAACCCAUGGCAUCUUGAAACUUCCAGUGUCGUUAGAUUUUUGAAAGACAGCAAAGAUGGUUCAAAAGUCUUUAACGUCAACUCUGGAAGUUGACACAAACUUAAUUCCUUUAGCUGAUAGAACGCUGAUGUAUGCCUUUCGUCGUCGCUGAGUCCUUCAGAUUGUACUAUUUGACAAAUGGAAGCAUUGUCUAUAACAAGCUUAUGAAGCAUUGGUAGUGACCGAAUGAAUGAAUAUGGAAGAGUAGUGGAUGCCUCACGAAAGAAUUGGAGGUUAAGAAGUUUAAGGUUUUGGAAACACUGCAAUGAGAGCUGUCCAUCACAUAUCCCCUUCACCAUAUCAUUCGUCUUCAGUGUCAGUUCUUCUAAUACAGGGAAAGUGUCCUGGAUGGCAACGAAUAUAUUAAACAUUGAUCAAAGAGUUUUGAAUUGGUAAGAACUAGACUACAGAAUGAAUAUCAUUUCCAUUUUCUUUCUCAUAAAUUUAAAAGGAAGGUAAGUGUUAAGAAAUGGCUUAAAAUUGGUAGUGGAUUGUUGUUGUUGGUAGUGGGUUGUUGGUGGUAGUGGAUUAGUGGAUGGUUGUUGGUGUCCAUUUUCAACCACAAAUCUUUGCCAAAGUUUUGGACAAUUAUGUCCUUGAACUCUCUUAUAAAUAGAGAGGUUCAUUAGCCAUAUUCAUCAUCCCAAACCAAGAGAGAGCAAAGCUUGUUCUUUGAAAGCUAGGAUUUUAGCUUUCGGGUUUUCUAUAGGGGUUGAGAGUUGUGAGGUUCUCGGGUUGUGUCUUGAGUGUAAAACACUUGUAAUCUUCAUCUUGUUAUAGUGAAAUUUCUUUUCGCCUCUGCCCGUGGACGUAGGCAUUAAAGCCGAACCACGUAAAUCCUUGUGUUCACUUUAUUUUUCGUUUCGGUCAAUUUACUUGUAGUCAUAUCGGAGUUCUCGAAUCGAUCCUUUCCGCAACAAAUUGGUAUCAGAGCGUAGUUGAAGGAGUGAUAAUAUUUUCUGAAUUGCCCUGUGACUGCAGCUUUGUCUGAUCUUUCACAUCAGGAAGAAAAUAUUAUCAUUCAUUCAAAGGUUCCAAAUUAUGGCUACAAGUGUUUCAUCGACUAAGUAUGAUGUCGAGAAAUUUACCGGGAAAAAUAGUUUCAGUUUAUGGCGCAUCAAGAUGCGGGCAGUGCUGGUUCAACAAGGAUUGCUAAAAGCAUUGUCUGGUAAAGAUAAAUUACCAAGCACGCUUUCGGAAGAGCAAAAGGAUGACAUGCUAGAAAGAGCACAUAGUGCUAUUCUGCUAUGUCUAGGAGAUGAAGUGCUACGAGAAGUAGCGGAUGAGAAAACCGCGUCCGGUUUGUGGCUCCGGUUAGAGAGCAAGUACAUGACGAAGUCAUUGACGAACCGGCUCUACCUCAAGCAAAGACUCUAUGCCCUGAAGAUGGAGGAAGGUACACCUGUUUCCCAGCACCUGGAUAAAUUCAAUUCCAUUAUCAUGGAUUUGAAUAAUAUCGAUAACAAAAUCGAUGAUGAGGACCAAGCAAUAAUUGUUUUGUGUUCUUUGCCUCCCUCGUAUGAGAAUUUUGUUGAUACAAUGAUGUACGGUCGUGAUGACCUGACUCUAAAGGAGGUGAAAAAUGCCUUAAGUUCCAGUGAGUUGAGGAAGAAAAUCACUGGUAAGGUGGUCGAAAACAAUGAAGGCGAAGGCUUGGUUGCUCGAGGAAGAUCCAAGGCAAAGGGUGGAAGUUCAAGCAAAAGCCAUCCUAGAUCGCAGUCCAAGAAGAGAAUACAGUGCUACUACUGUAAGAAGUACGGGCACAUGAAGGUAGAUUGUCCGAAAAGGAAGGAGAAAUCAGAAUCACAGGAGCAACAAAAUGAUCGUGCGAAUGUAGCUGAUGCAGAUUCUUCAAGUGAUGCCGAGAUCGUUCUUGCAGUAUCCGACUCUUACGCUGGUGGGAGAUGGAUUCUUGAUACGGGAGCUACAUUUCAUAUAAGUACUUCGAAAGAUGCAUUCUCAACAUACGAGAAGCAUUCUGGUUCAGUACUAAUGGGAAAUGACCACGCAUGUCAAGUCAUGGGGAUUGGCACAGUUCGUAUAAAGAUGUUUGACGGUAUUGUUAGAACUCUAACUGAUGUUCGGCACAUUCCAGAAAUGAAGAAAAAUUUGAUCUCUUUGAGUACGUUGGACAAGAAAGGCUUUCGGUACUCUGCUGAAGGUGGAGUUCUCAAGGUAUUCUCGGGUGCUUUGACUGUGAUACGUGGUAAUUUGGAGCGGGGCCUUUACUUCCUCGAUGGUUCCUCGGUUACAGGUGUUGCGGGAGUGUCAUCAUCAGAUGAUCUAGAUUCUGACACCACGAAGUUAUGGCAUAUGCGGCUCGGGCAUAUGAGCGAGAGAGGCUUAUCGGUGCUAAGCAAACGAGGAUUAUUGUCUGGGCAGAGUACAGGAAAGUUGAAUUUCUGUGAGCACUGCGUCUUCGGUAAGCAGACUCGGGUAAAGUUCAGCACUGGGAUUCACAAGACAAAAGGCACAGUGGAUUACUUCCAUUCUGACCUUUGGGGGCCUUCUCCGACAAUUUCUAAAGGUGGUUACAGAUAUCUGCUUACCUUUAUCGAUGAUUACUCGAGAAAGGUUUGGGUGUAUUUUCUGAAGAGCAAGUAUGAGGUUCUCAUCAACUUCAAGCAAUUUAAAGCUUUGAUCGAAAAUCAAACAGGAAAGAAGAUCAAGCGAUUCCGGACGGAUAAUGGCUUGGAGUUUUGCUCAGGUGAAUUCAAUGAGUUCUGCAAAAAUGAAGGAAUAGUGAGACACCGCACUGUUCGUCGAACACCACAACAAAAUGGAGUUGCAGAACGCAUGAAUAGAACUCUCUUGGAGCGAGCUCGUUGCAUGCGAUCAAAUGCUGGGCUCGGUGAAGAAUUUUGGGCUGAAGCUGUUAAUACUGCUUGUUAUUUGGUUAACAGAUCUCCGUCAACAGCUAUUGAGCUGAAGACUCCUGAGGAAGUAUGGUCUGGUUCUCCUGCUGAUUACUCUGGUUUAAGAGUGUUUGGCUGCCCUGCGUAUGCUCAUGUAAAUGAGGGAAAACUCAAACCGAGGGCGAAGAAAUGCAUAUUUCUUGGAUACGGCCAAGGGGUGAAAGGAUACAGGUUGUGGUGUCCUGAUCCGGUUUCGUCCAAGUUCAUCAUCAGCAGAGAUGUGACUUUUGAUGAGUCAUCCAUGCUUCGAUCCACCACAAAUUCCCGGGAAAAGGAGGAGUCAGAUAGAAUGGGAGAUCACGGUGUUGAGAAGCAGGUGGAGUGUCAGGUGGACGCUCCAAUUCCUACGGAAGGUACUUCAGUCCAGGAUGAUCAAGUUGAGGUGCAAGAUUCCGAUGAAGAUGAGUCACCUCAAGAAAAACCAUAUAGCAUUGCCACUGGAAGAACGAAGAGACAAAUCAAACCAAAUCUGCGUUACGCUAAUCUGGUGUCUUUCGCGCUCAGUGUGGCGGAGUCCAUUGGUAUAGAACCUUCCAGUUAUAAUGAGGCUGUCACGUGUGAUGAGUCGGCACAGUGGGCAAUUGCUAUGAGUGAGGAGAUAGAAUCUCUUCACAAGAACCAUACUUGGGAGUUGGUUAAGCCGCCAAGUAACCAGAAGAUAGUUGGUUGCAAAUGGGUCUUCAAGAAAAAGGAAGGCAUCCUAGGGGUUGAAGCAACUAGAUUCAAGGCACGAUUGGUUGCUAAAGGCUUCACUCAGAAAGAGGGGAUUGACUACAAUGAAGUUUUCUCCCCAGUCGUAAAGCAUUCUUCCAUUCGUGUAUUACUUGCCAUGGUGGCCAAGUCUGAUCUAGAACUUGAGCAGCUUGACGUAAAAACGGCGUUCUUGCAUGGUGAGCUCGAGGAAACAAUCUACAUGCGUCAACCAGAGGGUUUUACAGUUCCUGGUAAAGAAGACCAUGUCUGUCUAUUAAAGAAGUCUUUAUAUGGAUUGAAACAAUCCCCAAGGCAGUGGUACAAGCGGUUUGAUAGCUUCAUGAUUCAGCAUGGUUACACAAGAUGUGACUAUGAUGCUUGUGUCUAUCAUCGGAAGCUCUCAGAUGGUUCGCACAUUUAUUUGUUGCUGUAUGUUGAUGACAUGUUAAUUGCUUCCAAAAACAUGUCGGAAAUCAACAAGUUAAAGUCGCAGUUGAGUGGUGAGUUCGAGAUGAAGGAUCUGGGUGCUGCCAAGAAAAUUUUGGGCAUGGAUAUUCACAGAGAUCGCAAGGCGGGCAAGCUUCGUGUGUCGCAGAAGAACUACAUUGAAAAGAUUCUUCAACGCUUCGGCAUGGAUAAAGCGAAAACUGUGAGUACUCCGUUGGCACCACAUUUCAAACUCUCUGCAGAGUUGUCACCACAAUCUGAUGAAGAAAAGCAGCAAAUGUCUCACAUUCCAUACUCGAGUGCAGUUGGAAGCGUGAUGUAUGCAAUGGUUUGCACUCGUCCAGACAUUUCACAUGCAGUUAGUGUGGUCAGCAGAUACAUGAGUUGUCCUGGCAAGGAACACUGGCAGGCCGUGAAAUGGAUUCUCAGGUACUUGAGAGGUUCUGCAGAUUUAUGCUUGGUAUAUGAUCAGAGUGACUGCACUAGCAGUGUCACGGGCUAUGUGGACUCUGAUUAUGCUGGAGAUCUGGACAAAAGAAGAUCUCUGACGGGUUAUGUUUUCACUUAUUCUGGAGGAGCCAUUAGUUGGAAAGCUGUGUUACAGUCUACCGUAGCCUUAUCUACGACUGAGGCGGAAUAUAUGGCGUUAGCAGAAGCAGUGAAAGAAGCAUUGUGGAUGAAAGGUCUAGUAAGCAGUUUGGGUUUACAACAGGAUUUCACUGUUGUAUUUUGCGAUAGCCAGAGUGCCAUACAUCUGACUAAAAAUCAGAUGUUUCAUGAACGGACCAAACACAUUGAUGUCAGAUAUCAUUUUGUUCGGGAACAUGUUACGCAAGGUGACAUUGUUAUCAGCAAGGUUGCUACCGAGAAGAAUCCUGCAGAUAUGUUAACUAAGGUGAUCCCUGCAUAUAAGUUCAAGCAUUGCUUGGACUUGAUAGGUAUUCGGGAUUGAUUAGCGCCAGAGAGGCGUUUGGAAGAGGUGAUCCAGUUCACUAUGAUGUUCAGCUUGGUAAAUUUCAAGCCAAGGUGGAGAUUUGUUAAGAAAUGGCUUAAAAUUGGUAGUGGAUUGUUGUUGUUGGUAGUGGGUUGUUGGUGGUAGUGGAUUAGUGGAUGGUUGUUGGUGUCCAUUUUCAACCACAAAUCUUUGCCAAAGUUUUGGACAAUUAUGUCCUUGAACUCUCUUAUAAAUAGAGAGGUUCAUUAGCCAUAUUCAUCAUCCCAAACCAAGAGAGAGCAAAGCUUGUUCUUUGAAAGCUAGGAUUUUAGCUUUCGGGUUUUCUAUAGGGGUUGAGAGUUGUGAGGUUCUCGGGUUGUGUCUUGAGUGUAAAACACUUGUAAUCUUCAUCUUGUUAUAGUGAAAUUUCUUUUCGCCUCUGCCCGUGGACGUAGGCAUUAAAGCCGAACCACGUAAAUCCUUGUGUUCACUUUAUUUUUCGUUUCGGUCAAUUUACUUGUAGUCAUAUCGGAGUUCUCGAAUCGAUCCUUUCCGCAACAGUAAGAAUAUUAGUUAUUUCAAAAGGCAUUUUAUAGGUAAUCUCAAGUAAUGAACACGGAGUAUGAAACUGUUAGUGAGCUCACCUCGUUAACGCAAAACAAGGGUUGUUGGUUUGAGAUUCCAACCUGACUCUCAGGACAUUGUGGAGUAAAUAUCUGUACUUUGGGGCAUUCAAUAAUGUCCAUUUGUUUCAAUGAAGGCCACUGGGUGGUAUGCAUCCUGGAGUAGAAACUUUUCAAUCUCGGCACCUUAUCCAAUCCGAGGUUUAUUAGUUUGGGAAAUACAAACUUGGUCGUCUCUGUUUCAGCCAUAAUAGACUGAGCAGCUGAUGUUGACUGUGACUCAUCAGCAAUGACUCCUUGCAGCUCAAUAAUUUGUUCUAACGAAUCACAAUUCUGAAUCCGCAACUUCUCCAAACUAGGGAAAACAACCUGCUAAAUCAUUUCAUUAGGUUAAUAACUGAAAUAUGCAUGGAAAAGAAAGAACUUCAAAUGAAUAAGAUCAAUCGAAGCAACAUAAAUUAAAAGGAGAACCCGUAAAGAAAUGACCUUUUCAUUGAGGAGAGAUGAGUUAUGAACCUCCAAGUUACUCGCUUGUACAUGUUGGCCAAUUUCAGGUUCACCUUCGGAUACACAUUUAGUGAUCAAUGUUUUUAGCAAUGGACAAUUUGUUAGUUCUAAAUCUGUCUAACAUUGGAAUUCAAAGUAAUUCUCAAAGCAGAAACUUGUGAGUUUGGGAAGGUCUUUUAGCCACAGCAAUUCUAGUUCAGAGAAAAACAUCUGAUUCCUCCCUUGAUGUUCUUCAACCAAUCCAUCCGUGAAUAUUACUUGUUCCAUCAUAUUACAGUCCAAAAUUUCAAGGCGUCGGAGUUGCACAAGAUCUUUUACCAAGAAAGACGGGAACAGGUAUUUCAAAUUGUGACACCUCUUCACUUGCAAGGAAUUUAGGAAUCCGACAGAUGGGGAGGAUGGGUGGUGCCAUAUCUCAUGAAUGUUAACGAAGGACAAUUCCAGAUGCUGCAAACGAGGAAUGAUAACCUGUUGACAUAAAUUUCAUUAUAAGAUAACAUCAAAACUCUUCCUUCUUUACUUACAAACACAAUCAAAAAGAGUAGAUAAGUACGAAGAUUUAUAAACUGAUAAAUAUAGCUAGCAGACGUGGACCUUUUUUACUUAGAUGAAAUGUUCAGCAGCAUAAAUGUAACCUAAAGCAAAAUUUGUUUUUUUUUUUUUAAAGAAAGAAGCCUUUUUCUAUACAACUUGGAGCUUUCAUAUAUACUAUAAUGAUUGUUGAAUGAUUAUUAUUGAUGCGAUUCGACAGGGGAAUAUGCUUGUUUCUAAUUAAGUUGGACUCACAUAUUUAUGUAGUUUCCAUUAAUGAUUUACAUUAAUUACUUAAGUUAUUUAAUGAGUUACCUUAAAAAAUAGUUAGGCAUAGAUAAUUUAUUUAACCCUCCAACUUUAUAAAAAAAAAAAUUCAUUCUAGUUCUCUAUUUAAAUUUUUAUUUCUUUUAUCUUUUGAACUUGUGUUAUUUGUCAAAUCAUUCAAAGUAGAGAAAAAAAAAUUGACAUUUGUUAACUUUGUUGAUGUUAUAUACACUGUAGAUGACAUGUCAACAAUUAAUUUUUAUUUUAUUUUGAAAAUUUUAUAAAAAUAUUUAAAAAUAUAUAAAAUAUUUUAAAAAUUAAUUAAUUGCUAAUUUUGCAUACACAUGGAUUGCCACAUAAGCGAAGUUAACAAACAUAAACUUUUUUAUUCAUUUUGAGGUGAUUUGACAAAAAUGCAAAUUCAAAAGAUAAAAAAGAUGAAAAAUUUAUGUAACAUUAGUCGUAGCUAUUAUAAAUAAAUAUUAAUAACUUUCGGAUUUAAGAUCUUAUGUUUAAGGGCUUAUAAUUUCAAGUUUAAGAUUUAGGGUUUUAACAUUUAAUUAUAAUUAAUUUUUAUUUAAUUAUGUUUAGAUAAAUUUAUUAGUAUUUAUUUAUAAACCCUUUACUAUAUUUUUGUGGUAUUUAAUGAUAAUUGUAUGUUCUUAUUCACCGAUGAUACAUGAAGCUUGUGUACCGCUAGUACAUCAAAUAUUCUUCAAAUUAAAAUAUAUGAAGAUUAGUUUUUUAUUUUAUUUUCUAUUAUUAUUUUAUUAUUUAUUGUCCAUUAGUAUUUAACUUUAAAACUUCUCUUAAAUUUUUAUUGUUUAUUAGUAUUUCACUUUUAAGUUUUUCCUUUAUUCUUAUUUUAUAUAUUUAUUUAUACUUUAAACUUCAAAUUAAAAAAUAUUAUCUUAUUUACUAAUAUUUAUCACGUAUUACGUAUAUUUAUUUAUACAACACGUAUCACGUGACAUUAAUACUAAAAUAUAUAUAGACCAGACACACUCAUAUAAAUUAAUCAAAUAAAAGGAAAAUGUGAAAUAAGUUGUGCAGAUAAAUAUUGAAUACUAAACUUACCUUAUUGCUGAAAAAUAUUGCAGGGUUAUCAUAGAUGCCCCCCUCGCCAACCACGUUUUCACUUGCAUCUCCACUUCCUCUUGAACCUGAGGAAGAAAAUGUAGUCAUUUUUGGACACUCAACUAUUGCGAUUCUAAACAACUCUGGAAAUUCAAGAGCUUGACUUCCCAAAUAGAAAUUUGUCAAGUUGGAACACAACUCAAUUCUUAUGGAGAAGAGUGCAAGAAAUGUGAAUUUAUCUGUCAUUGCUUCCUCCCUAACCACUUGUUCCAUUGAACUGCAUUCUUUUACUUUUAUCACUUGUAGUUGAUUGAGGCUCAAAAGCAUAGACGAAGUAAAUAUGUAUUUCAAGCUACUACAUUUAUAAAAAUGCAACGAAACAAGGUUUUUGAAGCCCAAAAUUUCUUGAGGGUUUCUAAUCCAUUUUUCUAUUGACUUGGGAAUUGUGUCAGAGAUGUCCAAAUCGUAUCCGUCAUAGAAUCCAUCCUAAAAAAAAAAUUAUAAUAUUAUUCCACUAGAUGGCAAUCACAAAUAGAAAAUUAAUUGUAUCAGGACAGGAAGAAGCUAACUAGUUUUAUGAACUUAUUAAUUAACUUUGUACCUUUUCCGUGUAGAGCUGUUGUAUGGUGGAAUUUAAGUCACUUGCCCAACUCCAUUUCUCAGGGUAACUCGACUGUUUUACUCUUCGUAACUGUGGGGUGCUUAAAACUCCUUCAGUAAAGGUCUUUAAUCUAGGACAGUGUUCCACAACUAAUUCUUCCAAACAAGGGAAGUUGAAGGUGUAAUUCCUUGAACAAAAGCUUGUGAGGCUCUGUAAAUAGCUUAGUUCUAAACAUUUCAAUUUAUUCACAACUAUUGUCUGAUGGCAGUCUCCCCCAUUUCCCGCUAUUUCUGUCAUUUUAGUGCACCCCGUCACCCUCAUUCUCGUUAAUUGCACAAGAUUCUUAACCACUAAGGGUGUAACUAAGUUUGUCAUCAUUUGACAAUAUGACACAUUCAAAGUUGUGAGAUUUUGCAAAGAUGAGGAGGAGACUGUAAUAUUUAUCAAAUCAUCACAUUCCCAAACUUCGAGUUUUUGGAGAUUAGAAACAAUAUGGUCAAACUCCGAAUCUUUCCUCCAUAUAUGAUUAAGAU
RNAcentral lists this long non-coding RNA (27813 nucleotides) under Gossypium barbadense (sea-island cotton). RNAcentral's name for it is "long non-coding RNA (GBAR_LNC023262)". The record is from RNAcentral. Lineage: Eukaryota; Viridiplantae; Streptophyta; Magnoliopsida; Malvales; Malvaceae.